AGCAGCCGCGGUAAUUCCAGCUCCAAUAGCGUAUAUUAAAGUUGUUGCAGUUAAAAAGCUCGUAGUUGAAUUUCGGGGUCAGUAAGUUGGUCGUGCCACUGGUAUGCACUGGCUUUACUGACUCCUCCUCCUUGAAGAACUGUGAUGCCAUUAAUUUGGUGUUGCAGGGAAACAGGACUGUUACUUUGAAAAAAUUAGAGUGUUUAAAGCAGGCUAACGCUUGAAUACAUUAGCAUGGAAUAAUGAAAUAGGACGUUUGACCCUAUUUUGUUGGUUUCUAGGAUCGACGUAAUGAUUAAUAGGGAUAGUUGGGGGCAUUAGUAUUCAAUUGUCAGAGGUGAAAUUCUUGGAUUUAUUGAAGACUAACUACUGCGAAAGCAUUUGCCAAGGAUGUUUUCAUUAAUCAAGAACGAAAGUUAGGGGAUCGAAGACGAUCAGAUACCGUCGUAGUCUUAACCAUAAACUAUGCCGACUAGGGAUCGGAUGAUGUUAAUUUUUAAUGACUCAUUCGGCGCCUUAA
Molecule: ribosomal RNA, 520 nt
Filed under: uncultured Glomus
Lineage: Eukaryota; Fungi; Glomeromycota; Glomeromycetes; Glomerales; Glomeraceae
Description: SSU rRNA
Rfam family: Eukaryotic small subunit ribosomal RNA
Source: RNAcentral